CUACAGGGUAAUUAGAUUACCCUUGAGGUAUGUCUAUGUUUCUCAUACUUUUAGAUUUAAUUUUGAAAUUAAAAUAUCAGAUAAUAAAAUUAGAUCUAAUAGACAUCAGAUCUGAAAUAGUGUAGGAUAAAAUUUAAAAUUUAUUCCACCCCAGAUUUGUUGAAAUCUGGAAGAUCCUACACAGAGGAAAAGCGGUUUUCCUCCUUCAGCAAGUUCCUUAUGAA
Molecule: long non-coding RNA, 224 nt
Filed under: Elaeis guineensis (African oil palm)
Lineage: Eukaryota; Viridiplantae; Streptophyta; Magnoliopsida; Arecales; Arecaceae
Description: long non-coding RNA (EGUI_LNC068610)
Source: RNAcentral